This 253-nucleotide ribosomal RNA is filed under the name uncultured bacterium. RNAcentral describes it as "partial 16S ribosomal RNA". It matches the Rfam family "Bacterial small subunit ribosomal RNA", at positions 524 to 776 of the family's 1533-position model. The record is from RNAcentral.
UACGUAGGUGGCAAGCGUUGUCCGGAUUUACUGGGCGUAAAGAGCGCGCAGGCGGUCGUUCAAGUCGCGUGUGAAAGCCCACGGCUCAACCGUGGAGGGUCAUUGGAAACUGGGGAACUUGAGUGCAGAAGAGGAAAGUGGAAUUCCAAGUGUAGCGGUGAAAUGCGUAGAGAUUUGGAGGAACACCAGUGGCGAAGGCGACUUUCUGGUCUGUAACUGACACUGAGGCGCGAAAGCGUGGGGAGCAAACAGG